This 253-nucleotide ribosomal RNA is filed under the name uncultured bacterium. RNAcentral's name for it is "partial 16S ribosomal RNA". It matches the Rfam family "Bacterial small subunit ribosomal RNA", at positions 524 to 776 of the family's 1533-position model. The record is from RNAcentral.
UACUUAGGGGGCUAGCGUUGUCCGGAAUCAUUGGGCGUAAAGAGCGUGUAGGCGGUCCGGUAAGUCCGCUGUGAAAGUCGGGGGCUCAACCCUCGAAUGCCGGUGGAUACUGUCGGGCUAGAGUGCGGAAGAGGCGAGUGGAAUUCCUGGUGUAGCGGUGAAAUGCGCAGAUAUCUGGAGGAACACCGGUGGCGAAGGCGGCAUCCUGGACCGGUAUUGACGCUGAGGCGCGAAAGCUAGGGGAGCAAACGGG